UAGGGAAUUUUUCACAAUGGGCGAAAGCCUGAUGGAGCAAUACCGCGUGGAUGAUGAAGGUCUUUGGAUUGUAAAAUCCUUUUAUUAGGGACGAAUGACAUAAGUAGGAAAUGAUUUAUGUUUGACUGUACCUUUUGAAUAAGUAACGGCAAACUAUGUGCCAGCAGCCGCGGUAAUACAUAGGUUACAAGCGUUAUCCGGAUUUACUGGGCGUAAAGCGAGCGCAGGCUGAUUUACAAGUCUGGUGUUAAAUACAGUUGCUCAACAACUGUAUGCAUUGGAAACUGUAAGUCUAGAGUGUGAUAGGGAGUUCUGGAACUCCAUGUGGAGCGGUGGAAUGCGUAGAUAUAUGGAAGAACACCAGUGGCGAAAGCGAGAACUUAGGUCACAACUGACGCUUAGGCUCGAAAGUGUGGGGAGCAAAUAGG
This 428-nucleotide ribosomal RNA is filed under the name uncultured bacterium. RNAcentral's name for it is "bacterial SSU rRNA". It matches the Rfam family "Bacterial small subunit ribosomal RNA", at positions 355 to 776 of the family's 1533-position model. The record is from RNAcentral.